GAUGAACGCUGGCGGCGUGCCUAAUACAUGCAAGUCGAGCGAACGGACGAGAAGCUUGCUUCUCUGAUGUUAGCGGCGGACGGGUGAGUAACACGUGGAUAACCUACCUAUAAGACUGGGAUAACUUCGGGAAACCGGAGCUAAUACCGGAUAAUAUUUUGAACCGCAUGGUUCAAAAGUGAAAGACGGUCUUGCUGUCACUUAUAGAUGGAUCCGCGCCGCAUUAGCUAGUUGGUAAGAUAACGGCUUACCAAGGCAACGAUGCAUAGCCGACCUGAGAGGGUGAUCGGCCACACUGGAACUGAGACACGGUCCAGACUCCUACGGGAGGCAGCAGUAGGGAAUCUUCCGCAAUGGGCGAAAGCCUGACGGAGCAACGCCGCGUGAGUGAUGAAGGUCUUCGGAUCGUAAAACUCUGUUAUUAGGGAAGAACAUAUGUGUAAGUAACUGUGCACAUCUUGACGGUACCUAAUCAGAAAGCCACGGCUAACUACGUG
This 497-nucleotide ribosomal RNA is filed under the name uncultured bacterium. Its description in RNAcentral is "partial 16S ribosomal RNA". It matches the Rfam family "Bacterial small subunit ribosomal RNA", at positions 28 to 507 of the family's 1533-position model. The record is from RNAcentral.